CCUGUUAUCAGUAAAAAAAGAAAGUUAAUCCAUAAAAGAUUCCUCCGAUUCAUAUAGCUUGUAUAUGCAAGGAACAUACAUUUUGUAAUGAAUCUUAAAGGACGAUAAUACCACAAUUGCAAAAGGAUCAGUACGUAGCACCAGUAGACUCGUAGUGUACUAAUUAGAAUGUAGAAACGCAAACGAACAUGUAAAAUUUCAGGCUGACAUUGAGCCCAAAUGCUAAUCAUGACUUGCAUACAUGUGAUUUUUAAGAAACUUUUUUUUGGCAUGAUACUUCUAUUUCCUUGCCUUCCCAUCUUUCUUCCUCCCAUACACGAGGAACCCCAGUGCAGUAGUAACAGAGCAAGAGAGUUAUAAAAGAAAAACACUAAGCACGCCUCCUAGUUUAGCAAAAGAAAAGUAAAGAAGCACAUAUUUUGAUAGUGACCUCAUGACCUGUAUCACAAACCUUCGUCAUUUGGAGUUAUUUCACUCCUCAUAUUUCCACCAGUGUCAUUUUCAGUCCCAGUAAUUACAUGUACCAGUACUGGGCCAGUUGAAUCUAGAGUUGAGACCUCCUUUAAUACACAGAUGAGAUCAUCAAUGUUAUGCCCAUCAAUAGGACCAAUAUAAUAUAAU
Panicum virgatum (switchgrass) is the source of this 621-nucleotide long non-coding RNA. RefSeq lists it as uncharacterized. The record is from RefSeq and is a predicted model, not a curated record. Lineage: Eukaryota; Viridiplantae; Streptophyta; Magnoliopsida; Poales; Poaceae. The transcript is spliced from 2 exons.